RNAcentral lists this ribosomal RNA (247 nucleotides) under uncultured bacterium. Its description in RNAcentral is "partial 16S ribosomal RNA". It matches the Rfam family "Bacterial small subunit ribosomal RNA", at positions 796 to 1041 of the family's 1533-position model. The record is from RNAcentral.
CACGCCGUAAACGAUGGAUGCUAGGUGUGGGAGGUAUCGACCCCUUCCGUGCCAUAGUUAACGCAAUAAGCAUCCCGCCUGGGGAGUACGGUCGCAAGACUGAAACUCAAAGGAAUUGACGGGGGCCCGCACAAGCAGCGGAGCGUGUGGUUUAAUUCGAAGCAACGCGAAGAACCUUACCAAGGCUUGACAUCCCUCGCUAGCCUGGGAAACCAGGUGUUCCCUUCGGGGACGAGGAGACAGGUGG